GGACAAGAAUANGCUUCNGCUUUGUGUCUCACANGCGAUUUCUCCACGGCCACGGAAGAGUGGUCUUGGUAUUUCGCGUAUUGUAAUUUCAACACGAGCGGGGUCAAAUCCUUUGCAGACGACUUAGCUGUGCGAAACGGUCCUGUAAGCAGUAGAGUAGCCUUGUUGUUACGAUCUGCUGAGGGUAAGCCGUCCUU
RNAcentral lists this ribosomal RNA (197 nucleotides) under Akanthomyces muscarius. RNAcentral's name for it is "partial 28S ribosomal RNA". It matches the Rfam family "Eukaryotic large subunit ribosomal RNA", at positions 3184 to 3388 of the family's 3401-position model. The record is from RNAcentral. Lineage: Eukaryota; Fungi; Ascomycota; Sordariomycetes; Hypocreales; Cordycipitaceae.